CUAGCCGUAAACGAUGGAUACUAGGUGUGGGUGUCGCAGGGCAUCCGUGCCGCAGCUAACGCGUUAAGUAUCCCGCCUGGGGACUACGGUCGCAAGACUGAAACUCAAAGGAAUUGACGGGGGCCCGCACAAGCGGUGGAGCACGUGGUUUAAUUCGAUGCAAACCGAAGAACCUUACCUGGGUUUGACAUGCAGGUGGUAGAGAGAAGAGAUUUGAUCGACUCUGCAGUAAUGCAGAGAGCCUGCACAGGUGC
RNAcentral lists this ribosomal RNA (254 nucleotides) under uncultured Synergistaceae bacterium. Its description in RNAcentral is "partial 16S ribosomal RNA". It matches the Rfam family "Bacterial small subunit ribosomal RNA", at positions 796 to 1041 of the family's 1533-position model. The record is from RNAcentral. Lineage: Bacteria; Thermotogati; Synergistota; Synergistia; Synergistales; Synergistaceae.